UUUCAGAAGAACAUUGAGGACGACAAACACUGGUGGAACGAUGAAAAAUCACGGGUGCACAAGAGAUGUCUCUCCUCCAAAGCUCACAGGCUCGAAGAGCUGACUACAUGCAGCUAAGAGGAGGUCCCUAGAUGCUCCCUGUAAAGAAGGCAUGAUUGACAG
Molecule: long non-coding RNA, 162 nt
Organism: Hypanus sabinus (Atlantic stingray)
Lineage: Eukaryota; Metazoa; Chordata; Chondrichthyes; Myliobatiformes; Dasyatidae
Exons: 3
Source: RefSeq, a predicted model, not a curated record